CCUAUCUCCUCACCUCUCUCUCGCUCAUCUCCCCCCUCUCUCUCCAGCAGGUGGCCGACACCACUCCGGGUGGCGGCGGCGCCAGCUUCUCGGCGGCAACGACGAACACAGAAGGUCGACGAAGGUUUGAGCGGCGGUGGCGGCGGUAGAUCGGAACGACGGGCGGCGGCUCGAUGGUUCAGGUUCGAGUUCACACACGUUCCUGUUUCGGGUCGCGAUUCGGGUUUCGAGUUUAAUCGGUUCAGGCCAUCGGAGCUCCGGCCCGGCUGACAAUGGCAACGGAUUCAGGUCUCGGUUCGGUUGAAUCGGGUGGCUCGGGAUCGAGCCUGGGUUUGAUUCGGUUCCGUUUCCGUUCUCUUGAAUCGGGUGGCUCGGGAAGGUUUGAAAAUUCAGAUGGAGGCGUUGGGAGAUACAGAUCCCAGAGUCGCUGAGACUUGCAGAUACUUAGCUGAGGCUCUUGUUCAAGCAAUGCAAUUUGAUGAAGCAGAUACCUUAUGCAAAAGAACCCUUGAAAUCCACAGAAUACACAGUGCACCUGCAUCACUUGAAGAAGCAGCUGAUAGACGAUUAAUGGCCCUCAUAUGUUUUGUCGCUGAUUGGUGACUUGCUAUUGUUGUUUGUUGAUGUUUGUUAAUCAGGCUGCUGACAUUACCGACCGACUCCAACGACAUCGAAAGGUUGUAGGACUAUGACGACCGACUCCAACGACAUCGAAAGAUCUGUGGUGGUCCCCUUGUCACAGAAUUAUCGACUUCAAACGCUGUAUAAACAUGGGCUCUACCUUAAGGUACCUAAUUACAUUUCGUUGUACUUAUCGUUAUUCUUGUCGGACGCCGGAUUUACAUGAGACGCCGUCAUGCUAUACUUGCCUCUUUUUGGUUACAUGUCAAAUUGCUGUCAAAGUCGAUUAAAGAUUGUAGAAUUGAUGCAGGGGCUUAUGGGUAUUAUUGAAAAUUGAAGGUUUCUUUUAACAAAAUUGGACAUGUAUCUCGUUUUAAAACCCCGGUUAAACCGAAUGCAAGAAAAUGCCCGGUUUCUUCUGAUGAACCGGAGACUACAGUUUCAGAUGAUGAUUCGUCUUCUGAUGAAUUGGGGACUAUAGUUUCAGAUGAUGACGCUUCUUUGUGGUUGAGUGAAGAUCAAGAACAUGGGAUCAAGAUUAAGGAUGAAGGUGAAUGUUCAAGUAAAGCAGGGGAGAUUGAAAAGGGUAAAGCUGAUUUCAAAAGUGAUAAAUCCUUCAUGGUUUAUAUAAAUCAAUCACAUCUUACUAAUCGCGGAGUGG
Molecule: long non-coding RNA, 1282 nt
Organism: Helianthus annuus (common sunflower)
Lineage: Eukaryota; Viridiplantae; Streptophyta; Magnoliopsida; Asterales; Asteraceae
Exons: 5
Source: RefSeq, a predicted model, not a curated record